CAAAGGUAUUAUUAAAAGGGUUUUUAAAAACUGCAAAUGAAAUAUUAUCAACAUAAUUAGAUUAUUUAUUUAUUUCCGUGGGUACGUGUUUCUUUAUCAACGUCUUAAUAGAUAAAGCAAAAAACGGUUUCGCAAGUGAAUAAAUUACAUGAGGAAUUUUAAGCUAAUUCGAGAAAAAUGCACAUUAAUUCAAAUAUUGAAGUUUUAAUAUAAAAAAGCAUAAAAAAUCAUAAAAAAGCAAUUCGUAAAUUUUAUAAUCAAAAUUGUCAGUUAUUACCCUUUAAAACAUAAAUUAUAUAAAUAUAAAUUAUCAAGUCUUGUUUUGGUAUAUAUACGGAAACGUUUUGAGUCAGUUUAAUUCGAAGAAUACCUGCAGUUAACAACCAACGAUUCAUAAUGAAGUGGUGCUUUGUUUUUGCCGUCUUUGCCAUCGCUGUGUUUUCCUUUGACUUUGGAAGUGCUAGAGACCCAACUCCAACACUAACAGUCAUUCCUAAAGACUCAUCAAGAUGCACUGGAGUUCAGAAAUGUGACGAGGAAUGUAAGGCAGCAGGUUUCUGGAAGGGUGAAUGCAAUUUAUGCAAAUCCAACUACUGCUCAUGUUUUUAUAAUUAAAAUGUAAACAGUAACAGAAACAAAUACAUUUUGUUCCCCGAUUAAAAA
Molecule: long non-coding RNA, 663 nt
Organism: Dalotia coriaria
Lineage: Eukaryota; Metazoa; Arthropoda; Insecta; Coleoptera; Staphylinidae
Exons: 2
Source: RefSeq, a predicted model, not a curated record